Molecule: ribosomal RNA, 406 nt
Filed under: uncultured bacterium
Lineage: Bacteria
Description: partial 16S ribosomal RNA
Rfam family: Bacterial small subunit ribosomal RNA
Source: RNAcentral
AUUGAACGCUGGCGGCAGGCCUAACACAUGCAAGUCGAACGCGUGGCGGGCGGGUGAGAAUUGUCUGGGAAACAGCCCGUUGGAGGGGGAUAACAACUGGAAACGGUAGAGAAUACAGCGCACCACAGGAGGUGCGCAGAUGGGAUUAGCUCGUAGGUGUGGUAACGGCGCACCUAGGCGACGAUCCCUAGCUGGGCUGAGAGGAUGACCAGCCACACUGGAACUGAGACACGGUCCAGACUCCUACGGGAGGCAGCAGUGGGGAAUAUUGCACAAUGGGCGCAAGCCUGAUGCAGCCAUGCCGCGUGUAUGAAGAAGGCCUUCGGGUUGUAAAGUACUUUCAGCGGGGAGGCGUUACCCGCAGAAGAAGCACCGGCUAACUCCGUGCCAGCAGCCGCGGUAAUUC